CCCCUACGGGACGCAGCAGUGGGGAAUAUUGCACAAUGGGGGGAACCCUGAUGCAGCGACGCCGCGUGGGUGAAGGAGCGUUUCGGCGCGUAAAGCCCUAUCGGCAGGGAAGAAAAUGACGGUACCUGAGUAAGAAGCCCCGGCUAACUACGUGCCAGCAGCCGCGGUAAUACGUAGGGGGCAAGCGUUAUCCGGAUUUACUGGGUGUAAAGGGAGCGUAGACGGCAGUGCAAGUCUGGAGUGAAAGGCGGGGGCUCAACCCCCGGACUGCUCUGGAAACUGUACGGCUGGAGUGCCGGAGAGGG
Molecule: ribosomal RNA, 305 nt
Filed under: uncultured bacterium
Lineage: Bacteria
Description: bacterial SSU rRNA
Rfam family: Bacterial small subunit ribosomal RNA
Source: RNAcentral